UGACGUACAAAAACGAACUAUGACGUACAUAGUUUUGUACGUUAUAAUAAAUUUACAAAUUUUAUUCCUAUUAUAACGUAUUAUAACAUACAAAAUUAUGUACGUCAUAAAAAAUUUCAAAUAAUCAAUUAUGUUUAAUAAUAAUUUAUUAUACUGAUUCACAAAUUUUCGAAGUUACAUGAAGAACGUAUUAAGCUAUCAUUGACUUAGUUAUUUUGAAACCAAGGAGUAUAAUCCUCGAAAUUAACUAAUCUUUUUCUUCAUUUUUCUAAUAACUCAAGUUAAAUAGAUUAGAUCGGCUUUUCUUGAAAUUGUCUUAUUUUAGGUAACAGCUUUAAAAAAAAAUUAUACAUUUUCUAAUUCGGUUUCACCAAAUCUAGUUCUAAAAUUAUACAUAUUACAACAAACUUAAAUCAAUAGAAAUACACAUUUUUUUUAUUAUAACUAUUGUGAGUCAUGUUAUAGGAAUGAUUUUUUCCAAGCCAAAUUAUGAAUAGAAAUUUAAAUGAAAACACAUAAGAAAUUUUACAUAAUGUGACACCUUAAGACUUACAUUUAUGAAUAUUCAACAAAAAUAUUAUUGGCAAAAAUUGCAAAUUUUCAUACAAUUUUUCUAGCAAAUACUGUAAAUCAUUUCAUGACUGACAAAAUUCACAAAGCAUCUCAUACAAUUUUUCUACAAAAAUUACAAAAUUUCUCAUAAAAAUUUUCUAAACAAAAUUGUAAACCCUCUUAUGACACAAAAUUAUCUAAGUCCUUUGUUGAGUUGUGAUGAUAACUCGAAAUUUAACUUUUUAUUAUUUUAAUAUUUUUAUGUUACUCUCUUCUUCUUAUUAUUUGAGAUUUUUAUGAAUAUCCAUUUGAUAACCAACAUAUCUUUCUUUCAUCUAAAGUCUUGCAUGCUAUGAAACAAACAUUUAACACUCUUAUCACAGUUAUCUACAUGACACAUUGACACUAAUAAUUUACAUGAUUCAUUGACGACGAUAAUUUUUCCUUGUCACCAACCAUCACCAACUUGCACUUCGAAUUGGCAACUCGUUAGUGGAAUCUCAUAGAAUUUUUCUAACUAAAAUUACAAACCAUCUCAUGUAAUUUUUUUUUGGCAAAAAUUGAAAAUCUU
This 1123-nucleotide long non-coding RNA is filed under the name Vigna radiata. RNAcentral describes it as "long non-coding RNA (VRAD_LNC000018)". The record is from RNAcentral. Lineage: Eukaryota; Viridiplantae; Streptophyta; Magnoliopsida; Fabales; Fabaceae.